Molecule: ribosomal RNA, 320 nt
Filed under: uncultured eukaryote
Lineage: Eukaryota
Description: partial 18S ribosomal RNA
Rfam family: Eukaryotic small subunit ribosomal RNA
Source: RNAcentral
CCCCUAGCUGUUCUGGGCCGCACGCGCGCUACACUGAACAGUUCAACAAGUCUUAACCUUGGCCGAUAGGUCUGGGUAAUCUUUGAACGCUGUUCGUGAUUGGGAUAGACCUUUGCAAUUAUGGGUCUUCAACGAGGAAUUCCUAGUAAACGCAAGUCAUCAGCUUGCAUUGAUUACGUCCCUGCCCUUUGUACACACCGCCCGUCGCACCUACCGAUUGAAUGGUCCGGUGAAAUCUCGGGACGGCGGCUUGGUCGCUUGCGUCCGACUGCUGAAACUUGAUUAAACCAUAUCAUUUAGAGGAAGGUGAAGUCGUAACA